RNAcentral lists this ribosomal RNA (253 nucleotides) under uncultured bacterium. Its description in RNAcentral is "partial 16S ribosomal RNA". It matches the Rfam family "Bacterial small subunit ribosomal RNA", at positions 524 to 776 of the family's 1533-position model. The record is from RNAcentral.
UACGGAGGGUGCGAGCGUUAUCCGGAUUCACUGGGCGUAAAGCGCAUGUAGGCGGAUGUCUAAGUCGUGUGUUAAAGCCCCUGGCUCAACUGGGGGAGGUCAUGCGAGACUGGAUGACUUGAGGGCAACAGAGGCACGUGGAACUCCCGGUGUAGCGGUGGAAUGCGUAGAGAUCGGGAAGAACACCCGUGGCGAAGGCGGCGUGCUGGGUUGCAACUGACGCUGAGAUGCGAAAGUGUGGGGAGCAAACGGG